CGAUGGCAGAUGAUCGCUGGUGAGCCGCUUUGGUUUGCUAGAGGAAAGUCCGAACACCAUACGGCAGCAUGCCGCGUAAAAUACGCGGGCGCCGCGGUUGUAAAACUGCGGUGACGGAAAGUGUCACAGAAAAAGACACCGCCGGUUCUUUGGCAACAGAGAUGCAGGCAAGGGUGAAAAGGCGAGGUAAGAGCUCACCGCUUGCGAAGUAAUUCGCGAGGCACGAAAAACCCCAUGCGGUGCAAGACAAAACAGAGGAAGGGCAGCCGGCCUGCAAAAAAUCCUCGGGUAUCGUCGCAUCACGGCGAAUGAAAGUUCGCCGGGCAUUCGGAGAAAUCCGGGUGAGAUAAAUGAUCAUCCGCGUGAGCAAUCACGCUGACAGAAUUCGGCUUACCGCCAUCGAAAU
Molecule: RNase P RNA, 406 nt
Filed under: Verrucomicrobiota bacterium
Lineage: Bacteria; Pseudomonadati; Verrucomicrobiota
Description: Verrucomicrobia bacterium RNase P RNA component class A
Rfam family: Bacterial RNase P class A
About the family: Ribonuclease P (RNase P) is a ubiquitous endoribonuclease, found in archaea, bacteria and eukarya as well as chloroplasts and mitochondria. Its best characterised activity is the generation of mature 5'-ends of tRNAs by cleaving the 5'-leader elements of precursor-tRNAs.
Source: RNAcentral